Molecule: ribosomal RNA, 482 nt
Filed under: uncultured bacterium
Lineage: Bacteria
Description: partial 16S ribosomal RNA
Rfam family: Bacterial small subunit ribosomal RNA
Source: RNAcentral
AUUGAACGCUGGCGGCAUGCCUUACACAUGCAAGUCGAACGGUAACAGGGCUUCGGAUGCUGACGAGUGGCGAACGGGUGAGUACUACAGCGGAACGUACCCGAACGUGGUUGUUAACGGGGGGAAAGGUUUGCUAAUACCCCAUACGACCUCCUGAGGAAAACGGGGGAUCUUCGGACCUCGCCGGACCUUGGCCGCCGAUGGCGGAUUAGGUAGUUGGCGGGAUAAAGGCGUACCAAGGCGACGAUCCGUAGCUGGUCUGAGAGGAUGAUCAGCCACACUGGAACUGAGACACGGUCCAGACUCCUACGGGAGGCAGCAGUGGGGAAUAUUGGACAAUGGGCGCAAGCCUGAUCCAGCCAUACCGCGUGGGUGAAGAAGGCCUUCGGGUUGUAAAGCGCUUUUGUUGGGAAAGAAAAGCAGCAGGUUAAUACAGCGCUGUUCUGACGGUACCGAAAGAAUAAGCACCGGCUAACUUCGUG